Molecule: long non-coding RNA, 4912 nt
Organism: Callithrix jacchus (white-tufted-ear marmoset)
Lineage: Eukaryota; Metazoa; Chordata; Mammalia; Primates; Cebidae
Source: RefSeq, a predicted model, not a curated record
UAAAAGGUUUGAGAUCAAUUCUCAUCUUGUGUGCUCUGCAGCAGGAAACCCUGAUUGUGAUUCGAGACAUUCUCUCUCUGUCGGCCUCUCUUUCAAAAUGCAGAGACUGAAACAUUUGUCAUUGGGCUGAAAGAGGGGAGGCUGGUUUUGCUGGGACAACUAAGGCCCCAAGAGGAGAAAGGCACCCUCUGGGGCAGAGAGGCCAUUGAGUCAGAGCCAGGACCAAUAUCUCACCAGCUUUUCUUCUUCAACGCUGACCCCCGCUCACCAACAGUGGCUUCCUGAAUUGCUGGGUUAAGCAGGAUUCUGAGGCACUGCAGGGAGAUGGGAGAAAUAAGGACAAGAUAUGCUUUGGAGCCUGGAGGAGUUUAUGUCUAGUGGAUCCACUCACAGCCAUCUUCUCAACAAGGCUAAUCAACUUUGUCAGAAGCAAAUACAUCCCAGGAUUGAAAGGACAUAAAUGAAAAUGCCACUCAGACCCAGAGUUCUUGUAGAACUCGGAAAGGACACAGGAAAGACCAGCCAGCUCCUCUGUGUCUCAGUUGUCACCAGAUCUACUGCCGUUGGGGGGAUGGGUAACCCUGGGGUGACGGAUUGAAAUGCUGCACCUUAUUUCUCUCAUGAUUACCGGAAUAAUUCCAGCCUAAGAGAGGAAGGAAAUUGAACAAAACAAGAACAAGGGUGGGUGGGAGCGAAGGCCAAACAGAACAACAAAUUGUAAAAUACAGGAUCUGGGGCCAAGCUUCAACAUGCCAGGAGGGGAAAAACCCAGCCCAAGGAGCGGGACACGGCUGUGUGCAGAGAUUCGGAAGGAUGAACGAGUUCCCAAACUUGCCUGGGGACUGUGGCUCCCUAAAAUGGCCUUCUGUGCCCCCUCAAAUUCAACAGCAGCUGAUGACAAUGGGCGCCGUGAGUACAAGUCAGGGGCCCACAGGCUUGCAGAGGAAAGAGGUCUGAGUCAGUGGUGAGACUCGAGGUUGAUAUUUUAUUAGUUUCUUCCUGGAAUUUGUGGGUCUUCCGAGUUGCAAACCCAAACCAAAUGUUCCCUUUGAGCGUUCCUGGCUUCGCAAUUAUCAUUUGCGUUUGUGUGGGGGUUGGAGGGAAGAGGAUGGUUUAGAGAGAAUGUCUUUUCAAGUGCAGGCAUUAGAAGGGUCUUCCCAGCAGCUGUGGCGGGGGAGACCGGGCCGGUGGACUACAACCUGCCAUGAGCACACACGGCCAGGCAGCGAUCCGCAGGGGCCACUUCACAUACACACACACACACACACACACACACACACACACACACACGGAGACGCAGAGGUGGGGAAUCAAGGGCCCAAACGGAGAUCGACGACGGCGAUCAACGAUUCCUUCAUAAAGACUGGAAAGAAAAUGGUUUGGUUUUGAUUUUACUUUCAAGUGAGUUUCACACUGGGAAAACACUCCCAAAGAUCCUGAACGAACCGUGACUCCAUUUCCCUCUCCUGAGUUUUUCAGGAUGUCACCAGGUUCCCUAUCAGACACGUGCAUCUUGUUGUUGUUGUGAGAUGGAGUCUCACUCUGUCAUCCAGGCUGGAGUGCAGUGGUGCGAUCUCCAUUCAUUGCAACCUCUGCCUCCCGGGUUCAAGUGAUUCUCAUGCCUCAGCCUCCAAGUAGCUGGGAUUACAGGCGCGCACCUCCACACCCAGCUAAUUUUUGUAUUUUUAGUAGAGAUGGGAUUUCGCUAUGUUGGCCAGGCUGGCCUCAAACUCCUGGCCUCAAGUGAUCCACCCGCCUUGGCCUCCCAAAGUGCUGGGAUUACAGACGUGAGCCAUCAACUUGGCUGGACACAUUCAUCUUUAGACCCAUGCAUGCUCCAGCCUGAGGGAUGGGGCUGAUGGUGAAAUGCAUCCAUGACACUUAAUAUUCUGAAAUGUAAUUCAUGACUGUUCCAACAGAACUUGCCCCUCCAAACCCCACUGAGCCCCUAACUUUAGAGCUUCGAUUUUAGAAUUAUUCCCAUUUUACUAACAAGGAAGCUGAAGGUAGAAGGGAAGUGUCUUUAGUCAGCCAGGAAACAGUUGACAACUUUAACACCCAAAAUUUCAACUUUCAUAUUUCUUGUAUCCCUCUAGGCCACGCCCACUGCCUGCAGACUAAGAAUGGUUUUUACAUUUUAAAAUGUUUAGCAGGGGCCCUGUGUGGUGGCUCACGCCUGUAAUCCCAGCACUUUGGGAGGCUGAGGCAGAAGGAUGACCUGAGGCCAGCAGUUGGAGGCCAGCCUGGCUGAUAUGGCAAAACCCUGACACUUCUAAAAGUAUAACAAUUAGUUGGGUGUGGUGGCGGGGUGCCUGUAAUCCCAGCUACUCGAGAGACAGAGGGACAAGAAUCGGCUUAACCUGGAAGGUGGAGGCUGCAUUGAACUGAGACCAUGCCACUGAACUCCAGCCUGGGCAACAGAGCAAAACUCUGCCUCAACAACAACAAAAAGGUGGAGAGGUAAACAGAGUGUAGCCUACAUGGGUGCCGAUCAUCGAGUUUUAGCCAAUCAAAUGUAGCCAACUGUUUGAACUGUGUUCAAAUGAGGCAAACGCUGAGCUGUAACCAAUCCAGCUGUUUCUGUACCUCAUUCCCAUUUUCUGCACCUUGCUUUCCUUUUUCUGUCUAUAAAUCACCUACCACAUGGCUGGGCUGGAGCAUCUGAGCAUACUCUGAGGCUGCCCAAUUCAUGAAUCAUUCAUUGCUCAGUUAAACUCCUUUAAAUUUAAUCCAGCUGAAGUUUUUAUUUUACCAAGAGCAAGACCUUGUCUCUAAAUAAUAAUAACAUAAAAUCAGGCCAGGCGUGGUGGCUCAUGCCUGUAAUCCAAGCACUUUGGGAGGCUGAGGUGAGUGGAUCACGAGGUCAAGAGAUCGAGACCCUCCUGGUCAACAUGGUGAAACCCCGUCUCUACUAGAAAUACAAAAAAUUAGCUGGGCACAGUGGCGCGUGCCCGUAAUCCCAGCUACUCAGGAGGCUGAGGCAGGAGAAUUGCCUGUACCCAGGAGGUGGAGGUUGCGGUGAGCCAAGAUCGCGCCAUUGCACUCCAGCCUGGGUAACAAGAGCGAAACUCCAUCUCAAAAAAAAAAUAAUAAUAUAAAAUCAAAGUAAAGUGUCUAUGAAUAAAGUUAUGUUGGCCAAUGGCCAUGCCCACUUGUUUACAGAUUGUCUAUGGCACAUUUUGUGCCUCAAUGGCAGGGUUGAGUGCAGGUGUCUCUCGGUAUCUGCGGGGGCUUGGUUGGUUCCAGGACCUCCCAGAUUACUAAAAUCCACAGGUGAUCAAGUCCCUGAUAUAAAAUGGUGUAGUACUUGGCCAGGCGCAGUGGCCCAUGCCUGUAAUCCCAGCACUUUGAGAGGCCUAGGUGGGUGGAUCACAAGGUCAGGAGUUCGAGACCAGCCUGGCCAAUAUGCUGAAACUCCCAUCCCUACUAAAAAUACAAAAAUUAGCCAGGCAUGGUGGCAGUUGCCUGUAAUCCCACCUACUCGGGAGGCUGAGGCAGGAGAAUCGCUUGAACCCAGGAGGUGGAGGUUGCAGUGAGCUGAGAUCGUGUCACUGCACUCCAGCCUGGUGGACAGAGGGAGACUCCAUCUCAAAAAAAAGGUAUAGUACUUGAAUAUAACCUAUGCACAUUCCCCUGUGACUUUAAACCAUCUCUAGAUUACUUAUGGUGCCCAAUACAAUGUAAGUAGUUAUGCUGUAUCGUUAUUUAAUUUGUAUUAUUUUAUUGUGGUUAUUUUUAAUGUUGUUUUUGAUAUUUUUUAUCUGCAAUUGGUUGAAUCCUUGGAUUUGGAAGCUGAGGAUAGAGAGGGCUGGCUGUAGUUGCAGCAGAGACCAUGUGUCCUGAAAAGCUGAAAAUAUUUACUAUCUGCUCCUUUCUAGGAAAAGUGUGUCAACCCUUGCCCUAGGCCACUGAGUACAUGGGAGAAAGCAAAGGGAGCCCCUUGGCCACCGAAUAAAGUGGAAGUCUUUACCACGGCACUUAAGAAAUCUACAAAUAGCCUCGAUCCUCAUUUUCAAGGUUAUGCCCUACUCACUCAUCUCAUACCAAAGUCAAUCUCAAAAAUCCAUCUACCAUCAUUGUGAGCAGCACUAAAUCCAUAUGGGCCUGCAGCAACUUGAUUCUUACCUCCUCGGAGGAAAGAAUUCAGCCAAGGGGCAUAAGGCAGAGUGAAAGUCCAGGGCAAGUUUUAGAGCAGGAGUAAAAGUUUAUUAAAAAGUUUGAGAGCAGGAACAAAAGGAAGUGCACUUGGAAGAAGACCAAGGGGGUGACUUGAGAGACCCAAGGGUGUUGUCCAGCCUUUGACCUGGGGUUUUAUACAUUGGCAUGGUCCCUGGGUGUCCAUUUCUUCUUCCUAAUUCUUCCUUGGGGUGGGCUGUCCACGUGAGCAGGGGGCUUUUGGCACUUAGGAGGGGACACAUGCACAGUCUGUUUACUGAAGUUAUGCGCAUGCUCGUUUGAGGCAUUCUUCCCCUACCAGUCGAGUGUUGCUAGAGGAAGGUCUUGUAUCAUUUAAACCCUGCCAUUGUGCCCUCUUGUGCACACGCUUGAGCCCACUCGCCCAACUGCCGAGAUCUUAUCCAGAAGUGGCUCUCACCAGCCCCAGGUGUUUUCUAUCUAUUGGGAGCCUGCCUUUCCCCGGCGCCAGCUGUGACCAGUUUUUAUUCUAUUUAUUUAUUUAGGCAAGGAGUCUCGCUCUGUCACCCAGGCUGGAGUGCAAUGGCACACGACCUCGGCUCACUAUAACCUCUGCCUCCCAGGUUCAAGUGAUUCCCCUGCCUCAGCCUCCUGAGUAGCUGGGAUUACAGGCACCCACCAUCAUGCCUGGCUGAUUUCUGUAUUUUUAGUAGAGAUGGGGUUUCACCAUGUUGGCCAGGCUGGUCUCUAACUCCUGACCACAGGUGACUCACCUGCC